CGCCAUCUCCUGGGGCUUCUAAAGCCUUAUCGAGCCAUCGCCGCAAAGGAGAAGCCGGAGAAGAGGAGCGGCGAUGGAUGGCGGUAGCGAGCUCAGUGGUGCACGAGGUGCUAGGCUGUCGAGCUAUGGACGUCGAUAAGCCCAUCAUCGAACUACAUUAUCAACGUCCUCGCUGACGACGAUUUCGACUUCGGCGUCGAUGGCGAUGGCGUUUUGGAGGCCGUCGGUGACCUCCUCGUUGAUUCCGGCUGUGUCGAGGACUAUGAAGAAACUCAAUUGCUUUGGGACAAAAUUUUGGAGAAGUUGGGCAAACAUGGGUUGGUGUGGCUUUGCUUUGCUAUAUGUUCACAUCUCUUGUGGGAAGACAUGGUAUAGUUUCUACCCUUAUUAGAGGACAAUGAAAGAUGGACUGCUUUACAAGGGGUGCUAUAAUAAGGCAUUUGAUAAUAAAUUCCGUUAUGAUGCUAAACAUACCUCUCUUGUCCAGUCGAGAAUGAAAGUGAUGCAUCAUUCGGUUAUCCGGGGGAGCCUACCUUGUUUAAGAAUUUGAAUUUUGGAAUAAUCUAGACAGUUGAAUAGCUUGCAAGCUACCAAGCAGUUUCCAGGAUGAAUUUGAUAAUGUAGCUGCCGGAAUUACUUUGUCAACAACAAUUCGGUUUCUUAUAUGCUGACAUGUACAUACUGCGCCAUCAACAAUAUCAAUGUGGCCACCUAUUAUAUACGCAUGGACAUUAUUGAUUUGCAUAAUAGGUGGCCACAUGGGCAUCGUCAAUGAUGUGGUAUGUAUUUGUCAAUAGAUGAUAAGGCAAUUCUAGCAGCCAUAUCAUCAAAUUCCUUCUAGAAACUCCUUAGACCCUCCUAGUGAAAUCAAAUUGAACUUGGGUAAUCAAAAUGAUACAAAUUGAAAUUUGAUACCCAAAGUGAAAAUUAGCCACUCACUUAAGAUAUUUACCCAAACCUUGCAACUAGGAGAAGUAUCAAGCUCCCAACUGCCACAUGCAAUUUGAGCCACAUGGCAUAUAAAACCGUGGAUUAUCUCUUUUUUCAAUAUCCUUUUGCCGAGGGUAUUUGGAACCACUCCAGGUGUAUACUAGGGCUUGUGAAAAUGCUGAGCACCUUUUUGCGCGGGCAGGGAAGGGGGGUUGAACGUCCUAUUUAGGGCCAUUUUACGUGUCUACUGCCAUUCUCAAUCCUCUUUAAAAUUAAUAAUCUAUUCUAUUAUGUA
This is a long non-coding RNA of Dioscorea cayenensis subsp. rotundata (Guinea yam), 1225 nucleotides long. RefSeq lists it as uncharacterized. The record is from RefSeq and is a predicted model, not a curated record. NCBI's taxonomy places the organism in Eukaryota, Viridiplantae, Streptophyta, Magnoliopsida, Dioscoreales, Dioscoreaceae. The transcript has 5 exons.